UAAGCACGUGAAAGCGUGUGACCCUUCGGGGAACUUCCACAGGUGCUGCAUGGCCGUCGUCAGCUCGUGUCGUGAGAUGUUGGGUUAAGUCCCGCAACGAGCGCAACCCUUGUGAAUAGUUGCCAGCACGUCAUGGUGGGAACUCUAUUCAGACUGCCCAGAUCAACUGGGAGGAAGGUGGGGACGACGUCAGGUCAGUAUGGCCCUUACGCCUUGGGCUGCACACGUACUACAAUGCUCAGUACAAUGAGAACCGAGACCGCGAGGUGGAGGAAAUCUACAAAACUGGGCUCAGUUCGGAUUGGAGGCUGCAACUCGCCUCCAUGAAGCUGGAAUCGCUAGUAAUGGCACAUCAGAUACGGUGCCGUGAAUACGUUCCCGGGUCUUGUACACACCGCCCGUC
RNAcentral lists this ribosomal RNA (403 nucleotides) under uncultured Verrucomicrobiales bacterium. RNAcentral describes it as "bacterial SSU rRNA". It matches the Rfam family "Bacterial small subunit ribosomal RNA", at positions 994 to 1398 of the family's 1533-position model. Lineage: Bacteria; Pseudomonadati; Verrucomicrobiota; Verrucomicrobiia; Verrucomicrobiales. The record is from RNAcentral.